UUUUCUAUUUCUUUUAUUCUGUUUUGAAUUAGUAAAAAUACUAAUCCACUUUGUAAAAUCCUAAAAAUAAUUGUGGGUAGUGUUUGGAUUAUUUCCAACAACCCAAAACUAGUUUCAGAGUUAUUAGAGCAUUUAAAGAUAUUUAUAGGAUUUAAAUGCUCCAAUUCAAAUACGAUAUGAGUUAAUUCAAAGAUCGAGAAUGUCCUGGAAAUAUAUUCAUCAUUUUUGGCAGAGGUUUUCACCUUUAUCAAAAAUCAUGAACAUUUUCAAAGGAUAUUUUGGGAUCUCUGAAAAUAUUUUUACUGAGCCUAGUUAAAUUCAUUUGGUGCUAGGGUUUCAACAAUCCCCAUUUCAAGUUUCAUGAAAUUUAAACAUGAUGCAUGGAUGCAAUGCCACUAGUUACAAGCAAACUCUAGGGCUGUGACAACUCACC
This 433-nucleotide long non-coding RNA is filed under the name Triticum aestivum (bread wheat). RNAcentral describes it as "long non-coding RNA (TAES_LNC001136)". Lineage: Eukaryota; Viridiplantae; Streptophyta; Magnoliopsida; Poales; Poaceae. The record is from RNAcentral.